Molecule: long non-coding RNA, 274 nt
Filed under: Ananas comosus (pineapple)
Lineage: Eukaryota; Viridiplantae; Streptophyta; Magnoliopsida; Poales; Bromeliaceae
Description: long non-coding RNA (ACOM_LNC035211)
Source: RNAcentral
UUUACUCAGAAAUUAGAAUCAGAACAGAUGAUUAGUAUAUGAGAUUUUCAUUCCAAUUUCGAUUUCUGGUGCAUUGUGAAUCGCCCAAUCACUUAUUUUCUCUAAUCGUAGGAGGCGGGAUUGGAAAUUAAAUUCUGGCGGAAUGAAUGCUUGAUCCAAACAUAGUUCGAUUAUAAUGUAUAAUUUUUAUUUGAAAUUAAAAUAAUUUUUUAAAAUUUAAUUUUUAAUUAAAAUAUGAGUUCAAAAUUAAGAAUUGAAAUUUCAAAUUUUCGAU